CAAUAGUGUAUAUUAAAGUUGUUGCAGUUAAAAAGCUCGUAGUUGAACUUCGGACAGUGUGCAGUUUUGGCUUCGGUCAGGCUGUUCGCUGUCAUCCGUCUGCAAACCUUGUUCGACCUUCACUGGUACGGCAAGGGGAGUAGACAUUUUACUUUGAAAAAAUUAGAGUGUUUCAAGCAGGCAAUCGCCAGAAUACUUUAGCAUGGAAUAAUGGAAUAGGACUCUUGUCCAUUUGGUUGGUUAUUGGACAUGAGUAAUGAUUAAUAGGGACAGUCGGGGGCAUUAGUAUUUAAUUGUCAGAGGUGAAAUUCAUGGAUUUAUUAAAGACUAACUUAUGCGAAAGCAUUUGCCAAGGAUGUUUUCAUUAA
RNAcentral lists this ribosomal RNA (368 nucleotides) under uncultured eukaryote. Its description in RNAcentral is "partial 18S ribosomal RNA". It matches the Rfam family "Eukaryotic small subunit ribosomal RNA", at positions 592 to 976 of the family's 1831-position model. The record is from RNAcentral.